GGGCAAAGAAACAGGCUGGGAGACAGGCAAUGUAGGAGGGGAGAUGUCAUGAUUGAAAAUAGCAGAAGGAAUAGACACUGGAGAAUCAGGAGAAGGGUGAAGAGGAGAGGAAGGAGAAGAUUCAUUGGAAGAUGGUAGAGUGAAAGAUUGAGGGAGAAUGUCAUCAGAAAAGGGAACAUGUGGAGGAGAAGUAGAAGAGGGAGGAGGAGACUUGAAUGGAAAGUGAGUUUCAUGAAAAACAACAUUCCUAGAAACAAAGCAUUUCUUGGAAUUCAAGUCAUAAAGUUUAUAACCUUUCUUACCAAAGGGNNN
Molecule: long non-coding RNA, 312 nt
Filed under: Nicotiana benthamiana
Lineage: Eukaryota; Viridiplantae; Streptophyta; Magnoliopsida; Solanales; Solanaceae
Description: long non-coding RNA (NBEN_LNC018063)
Source: RNAcentral